Molecule: ribosomal RNA, 484 nt
Filed under: uncultured bacterium
Lineage: Bacteria
Description: partial 16S ribosomal RNA
Rfam family: Bacterial small subunit ribosomal RNA
Source: RNAcentral
AUUGAACGCUGGCGGCAGGCCUAACACAUGCAAGUCGAGCGGAUGAAGGGAGCUUGCUCCUGGAUUCAGCGGCGGACGGGUGAGUAAUGCCUAGGAAUCUGCCUGGUAGUGGGGGAUAACGUCCGGAAACGGGCGCUAAUACCGCAUACGUCCUGAGGGAGAAAGUGGGGGAUCUUCGGACCUCACGCUAUCAGAUGAGCCUAGGUCGGAUUAGCUAGUUGGUGGGGUAAAGGCCCACCAAGGCGACGAUCCGUAACUGGUCUGAGAGGAUGAUCAGUCACACUGGAACUGAGACACGGUCCAGACUCCUACGGGAGGCAGCAGUGGGGAAUAUUGGACAAUGGGCGAAAGCCUGAUCCAGCAAUGCCGAGUGCGUGAAGAAGGUCUUCGGAUUGUAAAGCACUUUAAGUUGGGAGGAAGGGCAGUAAGUUAAUACCUUGCUGUUUUGGCGUUACCAACAGGAUAAGCACCGGCUAACUUCGUG